Molecule: ribosomal RNA, 433 nt
Filed under: uncultured bacterium
Lineage: Bacteria
Description: partial 16S ribosomal RNA
Rfam family: Bacterial small subunit ribosomal RNA
Source: RNAcentral
AACGAACGCUGGCGGCAUGCCUAACACAUGCAAGUCGAACGAGACCUUCGGGUCUAGUGGCGCACGGGUGCGUAACGCGUGGGAACCUGCCCUUAGGUUCGGAAUAACUCCCCGAAAGGGGUGCUAAUACCGGAUAAUGUCUUCGGACCAAAGAUUUAUCGCCAUUGGAUGGGCCCGGGUUGGAUUAGCUAGUUGGUAGGGUAAAAGCCUAGCAAGGCGACGAUGCAUAGCUGGUCUGAGAGGAUGAUCAGCCACACUGGAACUGAGGCACGGCCCAGACUCCUACGGGAGGCAGCAGUGGGGAAUAUUGGACAAUGGGCGAAAGCCUGAUCCAGCAAUGACGCGUGAGUGAUGAAGGCCUUAGGGUUGUAAAGCUCUUUUACCCGGGAUGAUAAUGACAGUACCGGGAGAAUAAGCUCCGGCUAACUCCGUG